This 201-nucleotide long non-coding RNA is filed under the name Homo sapiens (human). Its description in RNAcentral is "HSALNT0262471". Lineage: Eukaryota; Metazoa; Chordata; Mammalia; Primates; Hominidae. The record is from RNAcentral.
UGCCCCAUGUCUCCAUGGCUUCCCACGGGUCCUGGAAGGGGCAGAGUGGGUAUUUGCUCACAAGGCUACCAGAAAGGAGGAAGGGGUUCCAGUUUGGCCAGCGUUGCCCGGCUGUUUGUGCAGUUGCACUGGAACCCUGGUUGCCAGCUGCUGGCCAUCUUUCUUCUCUGAAAACCGAGCUGGGAGCUGUGCCAAUUUGGG